AUCUGUUGGGUUUUGAGCAUUCUAACACUUCCUAAGUGUACAUGCAACCCUAAUAACCUUGGAUCUAUGUUUUCUCUAUUAUACAUGCAAAUAAGAACUUCCAAGGUAUUAUCCUAAUCUAGCAUACAAAACAAUAACUAUAGCAAGAUAGAAUACAUACCUCUUUGGUGUAGAAUGUCUUCAUGAAGCUUGAGUGCCUAGUGCCCCAAGUGUGACACCUCAAAUGGAAUCACAAUCAUCAAAACACUUAGAAUAACUUGAGAGAAUUCUACACUCUUCAAAAUCGGCUAGCCCUUUCUUCACUAUCUCUAGUGGCCGAUUUUUCCUCAAUAAUAAGAUGCUUAUAUAGUUACACAAUUAGGGUAAACUCUUAAUUGUCAUGGCUUUCCAUUUCCUUGGAUCCAUGGGUACAAAUACACCAUGGAGCAUCCAUGGACCAUCCUAUGGGUUUUAGCCCAACUUGAUUAUCCAUGGACAUUAGCCCACUAUAUAAGUAUGGAUGAUUUACACAAUCAACCCAUAUAUUUAAUUAGUCUUCUUUUUGAUCACUUAAUUAAUCCUAGAUUAAUUCUUGAUCAAUACUAAUUAAAUAAUCUCAUUAUUCUUAUUAUUAAUAUACUAGAACUUAUAAUAUAUUAAUAACCAUAAGUGUCUUAUUUCUCUCAUUCAAGUGCAUGAUGGUAUGCAACCCAAAUGGACCAUGCCGGGUCGGGUCAAGUCUUACCAAAUAUAGUUAUGGACUUAGACAUUAAUCCAACAGUCUCCCACUUGGAUAAGUCUAAAACUAUUAUUGCGUAUGACUUCAGGAACCAACCGGCAAUCGUAGCUCUCAAAAGCUUCUGUCGAACUCUGACCUUGUAGAUGAACUCUGACCUUUGUCAGUGACUUGUCCAUUAGAUAAGGGAUCAUAUAUUCCUCCAUUCUAGAUAUCAUAUGGACUGAGACAUGGAUUAUAAUCAUUCUCUCUGUCCAUUUGUUGUUUCCCGAUUUCCGAUUUAUGACGACUGACUAAUUGAACAAAUCAAAUCAGUCCUGGCCCGGCCGAGCACUUCCAUUUGUCAUCAUCAAAUCAUCGAGGGGCCCACAGAUAUCGCUUUUAUCCCGAAGGUAAAAGGAACGGAUAAACUUCGACUCAUAUGGCUUGUUCUACUACUUGUUGAAUCAUACACAAAGGCACGUUUUAUAGCACCGAGUUACCAAAUGCGUUUUCGUGCUAUCAAUGUACUAUCAACUCAUAGUAACAACUCAUAUCUCUAGGUUUGAAGAAUAUAAGAUAUUAUCGUCUCAUGAUCACUCGUGAUAAAAUCCAUGAAGUGAUUCCAAUGAGCGCGGGUUGAAUCCAAUACUCAGAACUUAUGAGCACUCAUGAUUGUUGUAGCCUUGUCCAACACCUUAGACCUCUACAACCCAUCAUGACAGUCUUAAUUCAUAUCUACUUCCAACAUAUGACCGACUGUGGAUGGUUUGAAUAACUUAGUCAUUCCGGAAGAAUAACCCAGUUUAUUCGGGAAGUCAAAACAUGCAAAGUGAAACACAAUAAUAAUUGAAUCCAAUAUGGUAUCAACCCUUUGAACAUAAAUAAAACACCUUUUAUUUAUCACCAUAUGAUUACACAUUAUUCAUUGUAUACUGUUUCAGCUAUCAACUUUAUUCUUGAAUUUAAAACAAUAGUUGUCCCAUGCUCCAAGCAUGUACACUAUGUUUUCUUAAACACUAGUCAUGCCACACACCAAGUAUGCAUACUAUGUUUGUCUAUGAUCUUUACUUUGUGAACUAGAUCAAUUGAACAUAACUUCAAUGAUUCUCUUUUCACACUCCCAAAUCCUUACUGCAAAUGCAAGAAUUCCAAAUUCAUGCCAUUUACUGAAAUCUGUUAGAUUCUAAACUUAUAUGCAUUGAUCCUCUUGUAAUGAUUAUGCACAAAGUCAGAAAGACUUGACAACAAUCAUUACAGAGUAUUCCAAAGGAGAUCAGCUCCUUGGAAACAUCCUUCUUGCAUUAAGUUUCCUAAUCUUAAACAGAUUGAAAAUUCUAACUUUGAAACAUUUCCAGAUUCCAUUUUGACUAUCACUUCUGAACAAGAGUUGCCUCCUUACAGAUUAUGUCAAUAUGGUCCUUCCAGAAUUAUCACUAUACUUCCAACUGUCCUUGAGCAACCAAUCUUUGGUAAACCUUAGAUUGUCCUCGACAAUUGUUUAAUCCUUUUAGUCAUAUCCAGUUCUAAACCUUUUCCCUUCUUAAUGCCCCAGGCAUUUGGAAAAUUUUAGAACGGAUGAAUAUAGCACAUGUAAUCGAUCCUAUAUCCGAAGCAUAUGGGACACGAUUCAUGAUGUCUUACAUAAAGACUAAACCAGUCUUUUGCUAUAAUAUUUCCAUUUCAAUUUGCCAAGUUCUCAUAAUUCAGAUUAUGAAAAGGGAUGCCGUAAUCAUAAUCGAAUUUUAGAACGCAAAUAAUGGACCCAUAUACAGAAUUUCCUUAUGUUGAGCCAUUCCAACAUGAAAUUCAUAUAUAUCCUUGACUAAAUGAUUAAAACCUCACGAUCUAAGCUUAUAGAUUUGAGAUGAAGUAUAAUUUCCUCUCCCUUAAUUAUAGCAAAACAACUUUUUCCCAAUUGAAACUUUUGUUUUCUAUAAUUAACAUUGCUAACUUGCAAUACUUAUCAUAAUUAUCAUGCUCCCACUAACAUGAUGAUUAUUAGCAUAACACUUAUGCUCCCACUAGCUUUGACAUGUACUCAGAAAUCAGCUGGACUUCUAGAAAUCAAUACUUCAUUGACUUUCUUACCAAAGUUCAGAUUUCUGAUGCUAGAUUGUUUUGAUAAAGCUGUAUCAAAAUCAUACACCUUCCCUUAGAUAGCACACUUGUGUAUCUAAACAAUUAUGAAGAGGGAUGCCGUAAUCAUAAUGUUUAGACCUUUUUGCCACUUCUCACAAGUCCAAAUUAGUGUGCCGGUUAACCACACGCGCUCCACUAACGACUUUGAGAAUGCAAAUAUCACAAUUGCUAUCUAGCUAAAAUCUACUUAGUGAAAGUGUUUCCUCACCAUCAUUUUCAUGAAUCGGAGAGAAACCUUAUGACACUUAGAUUUAAUGGUGUAUGUGUUCUUAUCCAUGUGAAUUGUCAAAACCAUAGUCACAAGACAAGGAUAAUGACAAAUCCAAACUCAUAUGGACUGAACUCAAUCUUAAUUUCUUGCCACCUGGCAGCUCAAGGGCCUACCAUUGCUUCCAAGUUGUUGUGCAACAAAUUGAGAACUCUAAGAACUCAUAUGCAAAACCAACUUUAACUGGAAUGGGCACAGAAUAUGUCAACACGAUAGGUUAUGAACCUCAAGUUGUGUGCUAGUGAAGAACUUUAGGUUUUAUUCUUGAUUAGUUCUUGAGACUUUCAAGACUUUUAAGACUCCCACUGACCUCUUGACCUAUAAGACUCCCUUGUCAAAUAUCCAAGAGAUAGUGUGGAUUCUAAUCAAGACAAACACUUCACACAAUUGGCCUAAGUUGGUCUUUGUUUUAUCCAAAACAUCACAACUUACCAAUUUCAAAUGUACAAGAGUAGAAAACUUUUACUCUUACAUUUGACAAGUGUUUUAAACCUUCUUUAAGACAUGUCACUCAAGUUACAAUCUUGGAGUAUGACUCUAAGACUUGUAUUGGAACGAAGUAUGACUCAUCUUCUUGAUUUAACCAUUUCAACAAUUCAAGUUCCUCUUCUUAGUCAUAAGAAUGCACUAAGAUUUCCUUAGAGAACUAAUUUUGAUAUGGUUUCUUAAUCAUUAAGAUGAUCACAAAACUGAUACUAAAGUACUCUCCCAUCUUUUCAGAUUUGAGAAACUUUUAUCCUUCUGCCUAAUUUGAUUCUUCUUAUUCGCUCUGCCAUACAUUGGAACCUUUUCCAAUGUCUCAGAGUUACACUUAAGCUUGUAAGUAUAAUCAUAUUUACUGAGCUUUAGUAAACUAUGACGAAUAGUCUUAUCAAUCUUUUGUGGUGGACUUAAUCAGUGCACAAGAAUGUGUACUCGAUCCCUUAGUCCUUUACUUGACUCACACAUCCAUGUGGCCGAGUAAUUAGUCUUAAUUUUCCAAAACUUGAAAGUUCUCAUUCAUCAUGCUAUACAACUUGCAUGAUUCCAAGUUCCGGUCCAAUUGAAACUUGGGUGAUGAGAAUCUUUCCUUAUUUGGUAAAUCUAGACAUUACCACAAAUGAAAGAAUCAAUUUCAUAUUUCCACUCUUGCUAUUAAUGGAAUCAUAUAAGCAACAAUUUUUCCUCAAAUGCCAUUGUAAGGAUAUUUUAAAAUAAAUAAAAUCAAAAAUUUUCUUUUAUUUUAAAACUUUGCGGAAAAACUUAUCCUUACAAUCCAUAUGAAAACUUGUUGUUAUCUAUUCCUAAGCAAUAUCUCAUAACUCCUAAGAAGUUGCUCAAGAAUCCGAUCUUCAAACUAUGCGAUAGAAAUCCAUCUACGCCAUCAGAUUCAGCAUAUUCUUUCUUUAAGUUUCUUCACUUUUCUUUGAUUCUUAAAACAUCACCAUGUGACCCAGUCACAUCAUGUAUCAGGAAUCUCAGAAUAGAAACUUAACAGAGUUAGAUAGUGGACUUUACCUGAAGUAGAGUCAAACUUAUUGACUUUAACAUCCUUAGGUAAAUUUGGCAGCUUCGCAACCAAUGCCCCUUCCUUUGGCAAUAUAAACAUAUGGACCCUUUGAUAAUGGUACACGGGACUAUCACAGACUUAGCUUUUCUCUUUACCAUUUGGUCAACCGAGUUGACUAUGGCCGAUCCCUUUCCAUUGGGAAGAGAAUGCUUUACUGGAUAUCCAAUGUCAUCAUUGUCAAUGUCCAUAAAGUUUUAGGAAGUUGAUCUUAGCAAAUAGAUAAGAUCAUUAAGGGUCUUGUCAUAGUCUGUUUCAUAGGUGUCCCAAAGGAACUCACUAUGUGACUUAGAAAGUGAUUGAACCACCAACUUUCUCAAGACUUUGACACCCAACUCUCCCGGCUUGUCAAUAUGUGACUACAUCUCCAAGAUGUGAUCACACCUAGACCUUGCCUUGCCAAUAGGGCUUGAGUGACCUUAAACUUUUCAAGAACUUGUGGGUUAGGGAGAAUAAUUGGAGGAGGUGAAAGAAGUAUGAUUUCCAAAGGACAUCAUCUUCAUUUAGGAAACCUUGUUUCACUAGAUUUGGGAAGAUCAUAGGUGUCUAUUACAGACAUCUUUUGGGAGAUAUUCAAGAUAGUUGAUUUAAAGUCCUUAAUAUGACACCCAAUAUGAAAUAUUAAGGCUAGGACCCAACAAACUAUUUUAUAACUUAGAAGAGGUAUGCCGUAAUCCAAGCUAUAAAAUAUUUGAAGGUAGGUGAAUGACGAUUCACCAAUUUCCACCAAGAUAAACGAAAUGUAUUAUUAGGUUUUAAUUGGUUUUGAAACUCCUAGAUCUUUGAGAUUCAUUGAACUGUUCAAAGGCAUGUUUCAAUCUCGAGUGUGCCCUUCAGGUUUUGUGACUGGGAUGCCGAGGAUCACAAAACAAGGUGUGAAGUAACCAUGCAAAUCACUUGGUACCCUUAAUAAAUUACCCCUCAAUCGAUGUGCCGGUUAACCACACACGCUCCAUCGAUACUAUGAUAAAUAUUAAGUCACCCUUUACCUACCUUGUUAAGUCCAAGUUAGUGUGCCGGUUAACCACACACGCUCCACUAACGACUUAGACAAAGUGUAAAGUGUAAUUUCAUGGAUUAGCACCUUAUUCACAUUUUUCCUAAGUAACUAAGAUUGGGUAUUAUUAAGAGUUUAGUUACUUAGUAUUAUCAUUAAUACUUUUAAUGAAGGGAGAAUUCUAGUCCUGUCAAACCCGUUCGGCUAACGACCCUCCACCAGUCAAGCAAGCGGUGGGUGAGAGUGGACACCCAUUAAGUUGCCAUUUUAUAGGCAACAACCUUAUACCCACCUUAUAGACCGGCUUCGUGAAUGAGGCGUACUAGCGGUAAGACUGACUUUACUCUUAUACAUAUAUAUAUUAUUAACUUAUAAUAUUAUAAAGUAUAAGGGUUGAAUUUUAACUUUUAAAAUUCUAAGGGCUAACUUGGAAUUAAAGUAUUCAUAAGUGAAAACUUUACAAAUUCCAAAACUUGAGGGCAAGUUUUGAAACUAUUCAAAACUAAUUAAUUCCAUAACUUAUGUGUUUAAAGUAGUUUUAAUCCAAAAACUCUUCAAGUUCCAUAACUUGAGGACAAGUUAUGGAAGACUUUAAACUAAUAAAAGAAUUAACUUUUCUUUAUUUUAUAACUUAUGGAAUUAAUUAAGGUUACACUUUUUUUUUUUUUAUUUUAUUUUAUUAAAUGAAGAGACUCUUGGUCCUCCAUAACUUGAGGACAAGUUAUGGAGUCAUAAAACCAUUUAAUUAGAACUAGACUCUUCAUUUUUGUAACCUUUGCCAAUUUUUAUGAGUUUUAUGAUUCUUAAAUGUGACUUUUCAUAUAACUUGAGGACAAGUUACAAAAACACAUUUUAGAAUCAAUUCUUAGAUUAAUUUGGAUUAAAACCAACUAUCACAUAAUUUUAUUCAUUAAUCUAAAUUCACUCAUAAAACAAGGUAACACAAAAAACUUUUGGUGAUCCAUAACUUAUUCUUAAGUUAUGGAAUCCUUUAAAACAUUAACACCAAAUUUUGUAACUCCAAAAAAACUUUGAAUCAAUUUUUUUUUUAAAACCUUUUCAUAUCCAUAACUUAUGGAGGUUUCAAAAAAUAAAACUCUUUAGAUCAAACUUUUAAAACUAAUAAAAUAAUCAUAUUAUUUUAUCUUUUAUUAAAUUUGACCUAAUUCAACUCAUAAAGCAAAUUAUUCAAAUUUUACAAAUAAUUAGUUUUUCACAAGAACAAGUAAUUAUCUUAAAAUUUGACAAACUUCAUGUUUUUUUUUUUUUUUUUUUUCAACUUUGAAAAUAAAAUAUUUGCAUCAAUAUAACAGAAAACAACCCGUGGCUCUGAUACCACUGUUGGGUUUUGAGCAUUCUAACACUUCCUAAGUGUACAUGCAACCCUAAAUACCUUGGAUCUAUGUUUUCUCUAUUAUACAUGCAAAUAAGAACUUCCAAGGUAUUAUCCUAAUCUAGCAUACAAAACAAUAAUGUAACAAGAUAGAAUACAUACCUCUUGAUGUAGAAAGUCUUCAUGAAGCUUGAGUGCUUAGUGCCCCAAGUGUGACACCUCAAAUGGAAUCACAAUCAUCAAAACACUUAGAAUGACUUGAGAGAAUUCUACACUCACCAAAAUCGGCUAGCCCUUUCUUGAAUACUACUAGUGGCCGAUUUUUCCUCAAUAAUAAGAUGCUUAUAUAGUUACACAAUUAGGGUAAACUCUUAAUUGUCAUGGCUUUCCAUUUCCUUGGAUCCAUGGGUACAAAUACACCAUGGAGCAUCCAUGGACCAUCCUAUGGGUUUUAGCCCAACUUGAUUAUCCAUGGAGCAUUAGCCCACUAUACAAGUAUGGAUGAUUUACACAAUCAACCCAUAUAUUUAAUUAGUCUUCUUUUUGAUCACUUAAUUAAUCCUAGAUUAAUUCUUGAUCAAUACUAAUUAAAUAAUCUUAUUAUUCUUAUUAUUAAUAUACUAGAACUUAUAAUAUAUUAAUAACCAUAAGUGUCUUAUUUCUCUCAUUCUAGUGCAUGAUGGUAUGCAACCCAAAUGGACCAUGCCGGGUCGGGUCAAGUCUUACCAAAUAUAGUUAUGGACUUAGACAUUAAUCCAACACUAUCAUCUCAGUUGCAGGAGCUGUUGGGUAAGCAGUUUAUUCGUCCGAGUAGUUCACCCUGGGGAGGACCGAUCCUUUUUGUCAGGAAGAAGG
This 7835-nucleotide long non-coding RNA is filed under the name Lactuca sativa (garden lettuce). RNAcentral's name for it is "long non-coding RNA (LSAT_LNC008944)". Lineage: Eukaryota; Viridiplantae; Streptophyta; Magnoliopsida; Asterales; Asteraceae. The record is from RNAcentral.